GAAAAGAAAGAAAAGAAAGGAAAAUUAAAAAGAGGAAAAGAUCUUUCCAUACCUGCCCCCAUACCGUCUCAUGCCUUGUGGGUCCCAUGGUCACCCACUCCUCACCCAGCACCACUUGCCCUUCUUGGAUGCUUGCCAUGUGGCACACAUCAAAGCUUCCUCUAUGCCUAUUUAAAGGCCUUUUUUUUCCUCAUUUUCACACACUUCAUUUCUUCUUCC
This 219-nucleotide long non-coding RNA is filed under the name Carica papaya (papaya). RNAcentral describes it as "long non-coding RNA (CPAP_LNC003580)". The record is from RNAcentral. Lineage: Eukaryota; Viridiplantae; Streptophyta; Magnoliopsida; Brassicales; Caricaceae.